UACGAAGGGGGCUAGCGUUGUUCGGAUUUACUGGGCGUAAAGCGCACGUAGGCGGAUCGUUAAGUCAGGGGUGAAAUCCUGGAGCUCAACUCCAGAACUGCCUUUGAUACUGGCGAUCAUGAGUCCGGAAGAGGUGAGUGGAACUCCUAGUGUAGAGGUGGAAUUCGUAGAUAUUAGCUAGAACACCAGUGGCGAAGGCGGCCAACUGGUCCGGUACUGACGCUGAGGUGCGAAAGCGUGGGGAGCAAACAGG
Molecule: ribosomal RNA, 253 nt
Filed under: uncultured bacterium
Lineage: Bacteria
Description: partial 16S ribosomal RNA
Rfam family: Bacterial small subunit ribosomal RNA
Source: RNAcentral